GACGCUGCAGGACGCCCCCCAAACUGGGCCCCGGGGCGGAAGAAAAAGGAUUUCUCCUGCAGUGACCGACUGUUUGCUCUCAAUGCGGGGCUGCGGUUCCUGACUCCUGAGGAAAAGUUCCUGGGCUGGGCCCCGGCGCCCUUUGACCUCCCAGCCUUCGACCCCCGCUCCCUGGACA
Molecule: non-coding RNA, 178 nt
Organism: Sturnus vulgaris (Common starling)
Lineage: Eukaryota; Metazoa; Chordata; Aves; Passeriformes; Sturnidae
Source: RefSeq, a predicted model, not a curated record